RNAcentral lists this ribosomal RNA (905 nucleotides) under uncultured bacterium. Its description in RNAcentral is "bacterial SSU rRNA". It matches the Rfam family "Bacterial small subunit ribosomal RNA", at positions 21 to 917 of the family's 1533-position model. The record is from RNAcentral. RNAcentral also lists the same sequence under 1 other name.
GGCUCAGGAUGAACGCUAGCUACAGGCUUAACACAUGCAAGUCGAGGGGCAGCGAUGAAGAAAGCUUGCUUUCUUCAGGCGGCGACCGGCGCACGGGUGAGUAACGCGUAUCGAACCUGCCUCAUACUCAGGAAUAGCCUUGCGAAAGUAGAUUAAUGCCCGAUGUUAUUAGGAUAUCACAUGAUGUUUUAAUUAAAGAUUUAUCGGUAUGAGAUGGCGAUGCGUCCCAUUAGUUUGUUGGCGGGGUAACGGCCCACCAAGACAUCGAUGGGUAGGGGUUCUGAGAGGAAGGUCCCCCACAUUGGAACUGAGACACGGUCCAAACUCCUACGGGAGGCAGCAGUGAGGAAUAUUGGUCAAUGGACGCAAGUCUGAACCAGCCAAGUAGCGUGCAGGAAGACGGCCCUCUGGGUUGUAAACUGCUUUUAGUUGGGAAUAAAGUGCAUCACGUGUGAUGUUUUGUAUGUACCAUCAGAAAAAGGACCGGCUAAUUCCGUGCCAGCAGCCGCGGUAAUACGGAAGGUUCAGGCGUUAUCCGGAUUUAUUGGGUUUAAAGGGAGCGCAGGCGGACCUUUAAGUCAGCUGUGAAAUACGGCGGCUCAACCGUCGAACUGCAGUUGAUACUGGAGGUCUUGAGUGCACACAGGGAUACUGGAAUUCAUGGUGUAGCGGUGAAAUGCUCAGAUAUCAUGAAGAACUCCGAUCGCGAAGGCAGGUAUCCGGGGUGCAGCUGACGCUGAGGCUCGAAAGUGCGGGUAUCAAACAGGAUUAGAUACCCUGGUAGUCCGCACAGUAAACGAUGAAUACUCGCGAUUUGCGAUACACAGUAAGUCGCCAAGCGAAAGCGUUAAAUAUUCCACCUGGGGAGUACGCCGGCAACGGUGCAACUCAAAGGAAUUGACGGA